Molecule: non-coding RNA, 486 nt
Organism: Oncorhynchus mykiss (rainbow trout)
Lineage: Eukaryota; Metazoa; Chordata; Actinopteri; Salmoniformes; Salmonidae
Source: RefSeq, a predicted model, not a curated record
GAUCUAUUUCAUACUCACUUGGACACCUGCGAGCCCUACCAACCUGAACAAUCAAAUGGCACAAACUCGACAGACACACUGCGAACCACCUCAGUCAGUCCAGCAUAUCCCACCCCCUACAACGUGACCACACGGUCAUACAACUUCACCGUAGCAACACCAUCCCAGAACUUCACCACGACAUCACAAACGCUGAACUACAGCUCGACCCCCUCGCACGACUUCAGCAUGACGGCCUUGACAACAAACAUGACAACCAUGCUUUACAAUCACAGUAUUACUACUCCUUCACACAACCAUGGCAUGACUACCACACUCUACAACCAUAGCAUGACUACACCAUCACACAACUACAGCACGACAACUCAUUCUCCCAGCUGUACCAUGUCUGCCACCACUAGUAAAGAGCACAAAGGUGGAAAUAUGACUGCCGCCAGCCUGUUUCAAGACAUUGAAGUGACGUGCGUCAAUAAAACGAGGAUCAGG